Molecule: transfer RNA, 72 nt
Filed under: Camelus bactrianus (Bactrian camel)
Lineage: Eukaryota; Metazoa; Chordata; Mammalia; Artiodactyla; Camelidae
Also listed under: 1 other name
Rfam family: tRNA
About the family: Transfer RNA (tRNA) molecules are approximately 80 nucleotides in length. Their secondary structure includes four short double-helical elements and three loops (D, anti-codon, and T loops).
Source: Rfam by way of RNAcentral
GAGGGUGUAACUCAUUGGUAGAGUGCAUGCUUAGCAUGCACAAGGUCCUGGGUUCAAUCCCCAGUACCUCCA